AAAACCGGAAGGUUUUUCUACG
This 22-nucleotide ribosomal RNA is filed under the name Gammarus sp. 5 ZH-2007. Its description in RNAcentral is "partial 12S ribosomal RNA". Lineage: Eukaryota; Metazoa; Arthropoda; Malacostraca; Amphipoda; Gammaridae. The record is from RNAcentral.